This is a long non-coding RNA of Tachyglossus aculeatus (Australian echidna), 530 nucleotides long. RefSeq lists it as uncharacterized. NCBI's taxonomy places the organism in Eukaryota, Metazoa, Chordata, Mammalia, Monotremata, Tachyglossidae. The transcript is spliced from 2 exons. The record is from RefSeq and is a predicted model, not a curated record.
CUGCACUCCCCCUCCCCCCCGUGCGAUUGCCUUUUCACGUGUAAAUAUGAAGAUAAUGAAUCAGGGGAGGAGUAAUUAAUCCUGCGGACUACCAUGCUACUCCCUGUACCGUUAGCCCAUGCCACUCCAUUCAUCUUCAAUUUCUAACUUAAAUAUGGGACUUCCUUCCCCCGGUGCAACUGCCUGAAGAAUAUAUAGCCAAUCUAACUAACCCUUGUCAUGGGCCCAGGGGAUCUGGGAUACCUUAAACCGCUGCUUUUAAAGACGGAGGUGUGGAAAUUCUGUGGGAGAAGCGCCUUGAUUCAAUCUCUCCAAGACCGUGUCGUUCAUCAACUCAGAAGGUCAAACAGUGCAGUGUGGAGGCCUGAGACCUAGGUUUACAUCUGCAUUUAUUCGUCAGUGUUUUCAAUACUGAAUUUUCAAGACCUGAAAGACCACUUUGUUUCACCCUAGUCAGCAGACACUGCUAUUGACAAUGGAUUUUUUUAAAAUAAAAAAAGUUUACAGACCAAAUGUGAAAUAAACAUCAA